Long non-coding RNA from Sinocyclocheilus anshuiensis, 550 nucleotides. RefSeq lists it as uncharacterized. NCBI's taxonomy places the organism in Eukaryota, Metazoa, Chordata, Actinopteri, Cypriniformes, Cyprinidae. The record is from RefSeq and is a predicted model, not a curated record. The transcript has 3 exons.
UGAAGGCAUUUCCAAAAGACAGACAACAACAUUUAUUUUGUUAACACUAGUAGACUUUGGGAAUAUUUUUCUCUGCAACUUGCCAACAAGAAAAAAACUCAUAAUUAUCCAGAAUGAAGCUAAUUGUCAAGAAUGAAGCUAAUUGACCUCUGUGCGCGUCUUUGAUCCGAAUAGUUGAAGAUGUUGACUUGCAUGGAUGAGCAUAAAGACACAGAUAAUGUCGCUGCAACCCCCCGAGCACGACGACUGCGGCUCCUCUUGAUUAUAAAUGAACAUGACCGGUCAGGCUGUGCUGCUGUGGACCUGUUUAUGAAGGAAGAAGAGCGAGGAAGGGACAUCACAUACUCGCUCGCGCGGUCAGGAGCGUCGCCUCGCGGGAAAGAUGCCAGUGUUCUGACAGAAAUCACGCGCUACAUUAGAGUACGAGUCUGGAAACCGCUCACACAUACAUGCAAACAGAAUUAGCACAUGCAUGGUCUGCUUUUUUCUGAGACAAUGAAUGAAAUGAACGAUGCACUUCCUGAGCGAUAGCAUUGGUCUCUAAUUGAAA